Molecule: ribosomal RNA, 251 nt
Filed under: uncultured bacterium
Lineage: Bacteria
Description: partial 16S ribosomal RNA
Rfam family: Bacterial small subunit ribosomal RNA
Source: RNAcentral
GCAAGUCGAACGGUAACAUGAGAGCUUGCUCUUGAUGACGAGUGGCGCACGGGUGCGUAACGCGUAUACAAUCUGCCUUUUACAGAGGGAUAGCCCAGAGAAAUUUGGAUUAAUACUUCAUGGUAUUGAGAAUUGGCAUCGAUUUUCAAUUAAAGCUUCGGCGGUAAAAGAUGAGUAUGCGUUCUAUUAGCUAGUAGGUAGGUUAACGGCUUACCUAGGCAACGAUAGAUAGGGGCCCUGAGAGGGGGAUC